GGCGCUAGCUUAGUGGUUUGGGUGUUGGACUGUGACUCUGGAAACCAGGGUUCAAUUCUCUGCUCAGUCG
Phrynosoma platyrhinos (Desert horned lizard) is the source of this 70-nucleotide non-coding RNA. The record is from the annotation of a GenBank genome assembly. Lineage: Eukaryota; Metazoa; Chordata; Lepidosauria; Squamata; Phrynosomatidae.